UAGUCCACGCCGUAAACGAUGGAUACUAGCUGUUCGGUAGCAAUACUGAGUGGCUAAGCGAAAGUGAUAAGUAUCCCACCUGGGGAGUACGUUCGCAAGAAUGAAACUCAAAGGAAUUGACGGGGGCCCGCACAAGCGGUGGAGCAUGUGGUUUAAUUCGAUGAUACGCGAGGAACCUUACCAGGGCUUAAAUGUAGUCUGACAGGACUGGAAACAGUUUUUUCUUCGGACAGAUUACAAGGUGCUGCAUGGUUGUCGUCAGCUCGUGCCGUGAGGUGUCAGGUUAAGUCCUAUAACGAGCGCAACCCCUGUUGUUAGUUGCCAUCGAGUAAUGUCGGGAACUCUAACAAGACUGCCGGUGCAAACCGUGAGGAAGGUGGGGAUGACGUCAAAUCAUCACGGCCCUUACGUCCUGGGCCACACACGUGCUACAAUGGUAGGUACAGAGAGCAGCCACGUCGCGAGGCGGAGCGAAUCUAUAAAACCUAUCUCAGUUCGGAUCGGAGU
This 507-nucleotide ribosomal RNA is filed under the name uncultured bacterium. RNAcentral describes it as "bacterial SSU rRNA". It matches the Rfam family "Bacterial small subunit ribosomal RNA", at positions 791 to 1304 of the family's 1533-position model. The record is from RNAcentral.